RNAcentral lists this non-coding RNA (135 nucleotides) under Alteromonas australica. The record is from RNAcentral. Lineage: Bacteria; Pseudomonadati; Pseudomonadota; Gammaproteobacteria; Alteromonadales; Alteromonadaceae.
UGCCCAUAGAGUGCAGAAGGUUUAUUGCGAACACAUCGCUAUUGGGAAUUUGGUGAAAGUCCAAAACUGUACCCGCAACUGUAAGAUAGCCCGGUGCUAUUCAAGUCAGAUACCAGCCUUCUACACCAUAUUGUU